RNAcentral lists this transfer RNA (85 nucleotides) under Felis catus (domestic cat). It matches the Rfam family "tRNA". From Rfam's summary of the family: Transfer RNA (tRNA) molecules are approximately 80 nucleotides in length. Their secondary structure includes four short double-helical elements and three loops (D, anti-codon, and T loops). Lineage: Eukaryota; Metazoa; Chordata; Mammalia; Carnivora; Felidae. The record is from Rfam by way of RNAcentral. RNAcentral also lists the same sequence under 1 other name.
GCCUGGGUGGCUCAGUAGGUUGAGCGUCCGACUUCAACUCGGGUCAUGAUCUCGCAGUCUGUGGGUUCAAGCUCCGUGUCAGGCU